UUGUAGUGACGAAGUGCUGAGAAGUAUUGCGAGAUUGAAUUGAAAGACAGAAAUGCACAGAAGGAGAAUUCGGAAGGCAAACAAUGGUACACACUCACUGGCUUCCUGAGACUGGAGCAUGUGAUCGAAAGAGAAAGAAAGAGGAGGGGAAGAAAGAAUGGCUUCGAUGCCAGGAGCUGAGUUUCGUUUCGACAAAAACUGAACUCAUUCCAACGUCCUAUCGCUGUCCUGCUUCUCAAAUAAAGGUAAACUGGACCCUUCAAGCCACGAGAAUCUCCACGCUUUCAAAAGUUAACCGAGACGACCCCUUACUUGCGCCCGCCGUUAGACGGCGUGACACCUGUUCCCUCCGGAAAACCACGGAAAAGUCGGAGGGGAAGACCGGCAUGAGAGAGGAGAGCCGAGGGAGUUGCGAAGGGACUGCGGGGAGUCCCGGAGUCCCUCUGAGCACCGCCAAAGUUUCUCCUGCUUUGCCCGUGGAGCCAAAAUGGCGGCGUGCGGCGUGGCAGCCGACGGCGAGCCAAGCGUUUACAAGCCCGAGGACGGCGGGGGAAGUAGAAGAGCGACGUGACGGGGCAGGGAAAUAGACGGCGAAGGUGUUUCAAAAGGGAAAAAUAUACCUACGUGAGCGGCGGCCUGGGCCCGAGGACCGGAGGAGAAGAGGGCCAUGAUGAAGGGAAGAGAGAGGAGUAGAGCACACCCUCUGAGAGCAACACCCCUUUUUUUUCCCACAAUCCCCUCCUACUGCCGCGAGUGCGCAUCCCAAAAUGAGCGCCGGCGUACUCCGAAGCCUCGGCGGCGAAGGAAACGGCCGCGGGUUGUAAACCUCGGCGUGAUCCAUUCGCCAGCUCGCCCUCUGCUUCGGCCUGCUCUCUUUUUCGCCUGCCUGCCUGCCUGCCCACUUUGGCACCGCUGACAAGAGGGAAAGAGAGUGAAGGGAGGGCGGCUGUACACACACACACACACAGAGAAAGAGGAAGGGAGGGACACGCUGUCUGUCGCGAGAGAGGGCGAACGCAGAGGAGGAGUCGGCGAGAGGAAGCGUGGAAAGAAAGAGCGUUCCAGUCACAAGUCACACGAAUUGUCGGGAGCGGUGACACAAACGUAGCAGCUGGGCCGCAUCGGCGGCGGCGCCACGCCGCUCGCCUCCUUCCAACGCCCCGCCGUGACCGGCAGAUGGCGCGAGAAACCAGCCGGCGGGCGCCAUAUUGCUCGCCAUGUUUGCUAACGGGAAACAACAAACAGACGGACGUUGGCGCUCAUCCCUUCUUAUUCAUGACCGACGUUAAUAUUUGAAAUGCCCAAUUUCAGUCCCUGCCUGCCGAGGACUUCAAGUGACCAAUCACGGGGCGCACCGCCCGACCAAUGCGAGCUCACGGCGGAGCUGACAUCAUUUCCAAAAAAUCGAGAAAACUCUUUUUGUCCUCCCACUUACUCUUUUUUUCACAUGCACCUGAUGAAGGCACUUGAUUAGAAGGACGGAUCUACAACCCCCCCCACCCAAGCCCUCCGUCGCUUCUUCGAAA
This is a long non-coding RNA of Syngnathus typhle (broad-nosed pipefish), 1526 nucleotides long. RefSeq lists it as uncharacterized. The record is from RefSeq and is a predicted model, not a curated record. The transcript has 2 exons. NCBI's taxonomy places the organism in Eukaryota, Metazoa, Chordata, Actinopteri, Syngnathiformes, Syngnathidae.